RNAcentral lists this ribosomal RNA (378 nucleotides) under uncultured eukaryote. RNAcentral describes it as "partial 18S ribosomal RNA". It matches the Rfam family "Eukaryotic small subunit ribosomal RNA", at positions 592 to 975 of the family's 1831-position model. The record is from RNAcentral.
CAAUAGCGUAUAUUUAAGUUGUUGCAGUUAAAAAGCUCGUAGUUGGAUUUCGGAUGGGAUUUGCCGGUCCGUCGUUUCGAUGUGCACUGGCCAGUCCUAUCUUGUUGUCGGGGACUAGCUCCUGGGCUUCACUGUCCGGGACUAGGAGCUGACGAGGUUACUUUGAGUAAAUUAGAGUGUUCAAAGCAAGCCUACGCUCUGAAUACAUUAGCAUGGAAUAACACGAUAGGACUCUGGCUUAUCUUGUUGGUCUGUGAGACCAGAGUAAUGAUUAAGAGGGACAGUCGGGGGCAUUCGUAUUUCAUUGUCAGAGGUGAAAUUCUUGGAUUUAUGAAAGACGAACUUCUGCGAAAGCAUUUGUCAAGGAUGUUUUCAUUA